This 394-nucleotide ribosomal RNA is filed under the name Cosmozosteria trifasciata. RNAcentral's name for it is "partial large subunit ribosomal RNA". Lineage: Eukaryota; Metazoa; Arthropoda; Insecta; Blattodea; Blattidae. The record is from RNAcentral.
CUCUUCUUGAUAUUUAUUUGAAGUAUAACCUGCCCACUGAUUAUUUUUGAAGGGCCGCGGUAUUUUGACCGUGCAAAGGUAGCAUAAUCAUUAGUCUUUUAAUUGGAGACUGGAAUGAAUGGUUGGACGAGGAAUAGACUGUUUCUUUAGAAUUUAUUUGAACUUAAAAUUUAAGUAAAAAUGCUUAAAUUUUUUUAUGGGACGAGAAGACCCUAUAGAGUUUAAUAUAUUUUAUUAUUGUUAUAUUUGUAAUGUAUAAAAUAUUGUUAAUAUAUUUUGUUGGGGUGAUGGGAAGAAUUAAUAAACUCUUUUUUAUAUUUAUAUAUUUAUAUAUAAUUUUUUGAUCCAUUUUUGUUGAUUAUAAGACUAAAUUACCUUAGGGAUAACAGCGUAA